This 1170-nucleotide ribosomal RNA is filed under the name Glutamicibacter sp. RNAcentral's name for it is "bacterial SSU rRNA". It matches the Rfam family "Bacterial small subunit ribosomal RNA", at positions 36 to 1232 of the family's 1533-position model. The record is from RNAcentral. Lineage: Bacteria; Bacillati; Actinomycetota; Actinomycetes; Micrococcales; Micrococcaceae.
CCGGGCGAGUGCUUACCAUGCAAGUCGAACGAUGAAGCCCAGCUUGCUGGGUGGAUUAGUGGCGAACGGGUGAGUAACACGUGAGUAACCUGCCCCUGACUCUGGGAUAAGCCCGGGAAACUGGGUCUAAUACCGGAUAUGACUUUUGACCGCAUGGUUGAGGGUGGAAAGAUUUAUCGGUUGGGGAUGGACUCGCGGCCUAUCAGCUUGUUGGUGAGGUAAUGGCUCACCAAGGCGACGACGGGUAGCCGGCCUGAGAGGGUGACCGGCCACACUGGGACUGAGACACGGCCCAGACUCCUACGGGAGGCAGCAGUGGGGAAUAUUGCACAAUGGGCGCAAGCCUGAUGCAGCGACGCCGCGUGAGGGAUGACGGCCUUCGGGUUGUAAACCUCUUUCAGUAGGGAAGAAGCGAAAGUGACGGUACCUGCAGAAGAAGCGCCGGCUAACUACGUGCCAGCAGCCGCGGUAAUACGUAGGGCGCAAGCGUUAUCCGGAUUUAUUGGGCGUAAAGAGCUCGUAGGCGGUUUGUCGCGUCUAUCGUGAAAGUCCGAGGCUCAACCUCGGAUCUGCGGUGGGUACGGGCAGACUAGAGUGAUGUAGGGGAGACUGGAAUUCCUGGUGUAGCGGUGAAAUGCGCAGAUAUCAGGAGGAACACCGAUGGCGAAGGCAGGUCUCUGGGCAUUUACUGACGCUGAGGAGCGAAAGCAUGGGGAGCGAACAGGAUUAGAUACCCUGGUAGUCCAUGCCGUAAACGUUGGGCACUAGGUGUGGGGGACAUUCCACGUUUUCCGCGCCGUAGCUAACGCAUUAAGUGCCCCGCCUGGGGAGUACGGCCGCAAGGCUAAAACUCAAAGGAAUUGACGGGGGCCCGCACAAGCGGCGGAGCAUGCGGAUUAAUUCGAUGCAACGCGAAGAACCUUACCAAGGCUUGACAUGUUCCAGAUCGCCUCAGAGAUGGGGUUUCCCUUCGGGGCUGGUUCACAGGUGGGGCAUGGUUGUCCGCAGCUCGUGUCGGGAGAUGUUGGGUUAAGUCCCGCAACGAGCGCAACCCUCGUUCCAUGUUGCCACGGGUUAUGCCCGGGACUCAUGGAAACUGCCGGGGCCACUCCGAGGAAGGGGGGAUGACGCAAACCUCUGGCCCUUAGGCUGGGCUCCCCAUGUCCAUGG